UUAAGCGACUAAGCGUACACGGUGGAUGCCCUGGCAGUCAGAGGCGAUGAAGGACGUGCUAAUCUGCGAUAAGCGUCGGUAAGGUGAUAUGAACCGUUAUAACCGGCGAUUUCCGAAUGGGGAAACCCAGUGUGUUUCGACACACUAUCAUUAACUGAAUCCAUAGGUUAAUGAGGCGAACCGGGGGAACUGAAACAUCUAAGUACCCCGAGGAAAAGAAAUCAACCGAGAUUCCCCCAGUAGCGGCGAGCGAACGGGGAGCAGCCCAGAGCCUGAAUCAGUGUGUGUGUUAGUGGAAGCGUCUGGAAAGGCGCGCGAUACAGGGUGACAGCCCCGUACACAAAAAUGCACAUGCUGUGAGCUCGAUGAGUAGGGCGGGACACGUGGUAUCCUGUCUGAAUAUGGGGGGACCAUCCUCCAAGGCUAAAUACUCCUGACUGACCGAUAGUGAACCAGUACCGUGAGGGAAAGGCGAAAAGAACCCCGGCGAGGGGAGUGAAAAAGAACCUGAAACCGUGUACGUACAAGCAGUGGGAGCACGCUUAGGCGUGUGACUGCGUACCUUUUGUAUAAUGGGUCAGCGACUUAUAUUCUGUAGCAAGGUUAACCGAAUAGGGGAGCCGAAGGGAAACCGAGUCUUAACUGGGCGUUAAGUUGCAGGGUAUAGACCCGAAACCCGGUGAUCUAGCCAUGGGCAGGUUGAAGGUUGGGUAACACUAACUGGAGGACCGAACCGACUAAUGUUGAAAAAUUAGCGGAUGACUUGUGGCUGGGGGUGAAAGGCCAAUCAAACCGGGAGAUAGCUGGUUCUCCCCGAAAGCUAUUUAGGUAGCGCCUCGUGAAUUCAUCUCCGGGGGUAGAGCACUGUUUCGGCAAGGGGGUCAUCCCGACUUACCAACCCGAUGCAAACUGCGAAUACCGGAGAAUGUUAUCACGGGAGACACACGGCGGGUGCUAACGUCCGUCGUGAAGAGGGAAACAACCCAGACCGCCAGCUAAGGUCCCAAAGUCAUGGUUAAGUGGGAAACGAUGUGGGAAGGCCCAGACAGCCAGGAUGUUGGCUUAGAAGCAGCCAUCAUUUAAAGAAAGCGUAAUAGCUCACUGGUCGAGUCGGCCUGCGCGGAAGAUGUAACGGGGCUAAACCAUGCACCGAAGCUGCGGCAGCGACGCUUAUGCGUUGUUGGGUAGGGGAGCGUUCUGUAAGCCUGCGAAGGUGUGCUGUGAGGCAUGCUGGAGGUAUCAGAAGUGCGAAUGCUGACAUAAGUAACGAUAAAGCGGGUGAAAAGCCCGCUCGCCGGAAGACCAAGGGUUCCUGUCCAACGUUAAUCGGGGCAGGGUGAGUCGACCCCUAAGGCGAGGCCGAAAGGCGUAGUCGAUGGGAAACAGGUUAAUAUUCCUGUACUUGGUGUUACUGCGAAGGGGGGACGGAGAAGGCUAUGUUGGCCGGGCGACGGUUGUCCCGGUUUAAGCGUGUAGGCUGGUUUUCCAGGCAAAUCCGGAAAAUCAAGGCUGAGGCGUGAUGACGAGGCACUACGGUGCUGAAGCAACAAAUGCCCUGCUUCCAGGAAAAGCCUCUAAGCAUCAGGUAACAUCAAAUCGUACCCCAAACCGACACAGGUGGUCAGGUAGAGAAUACCAAGGCGCUUGAGAGAACUCGGGUGAAGGAACUAGGCAAAAUGGUGCCGUAACUUCGGGAGAAGGCACGCUGAUAUGUAGGUGAAGUCCCUUGCGGAUGGAGCUGAAAUCAGUCGAAGAUACCAGCUGGCUGCAACUGUUUAUUAAAAACACAGCACUGUGCAAACACGAAAGUGGACGUAUACGGUGUGACGCCUGCCCGGUGCCGGAAGGUUAAUUGAUGGGGUCAGCGCAAGCGAAGCUCUUGAUCGAAGCCCCGGUAAACGGCGGCCGUAACUAUAACGGUCCUAAGGUAGCGAAAUUCCUUGUCGGGUAAGUUCCGACCUGCACGAAUGGCGUAAUGAUGGCCAGGCUGUCUCCACCCGAGACUCAGUGAAAUUGAACUCGCUGUGAAGAUGCAGUGUACCCGCGGCAAGACGGAAAGACCCCGUGAACCUUUACUAUAGCUUGACACUGAACAUUGAGCCUUGAUGUGUAGGAUAGGUGGGAGGCUUGGAAGUGUGGACGCCAGUCUGCAUGGAGCCGACCUUGAAAUACCACCCUUUAAUGUUUGAUGUUCUAACGUUGACCCGUAAUCCGGGUUGCGGACAGUGUCUGGUGGGUAGUUUGACUGGGGCGGUCUCCUCCUAAAGAGUAACGGAGGAGCACGAAGGUUGGCUAAUCCUGGUCGGACAUCAGGAGGUUAGUGCAAUGGCAUAAGCCAGCUUGACUGCGAGCGUGACGGCGCGAGCAGGUGCGAAAGCAGGUCAUAGUGAUCCGGUGGUUCUGAAUGGAAGGGCCAUCGCUCAACGGAUAAAAGGUACUCCGGGGAUAACAGGCUGAUACCGCCCAAGAGUUCAUAUCGACGGCGGUGUUUGGCACCUCGAUGUCGGCUCAUCACAUCCUGGGGCUGAAGUAGGUCCCAAGGGUAUGGCUGUUCGCCAUUUAAAGUGGUACGCGAGCUGGGUUUAGAACGUCGUGAGACAGUUCGGUCCCUAUCUGCCGUGGGCGCUGGAGAACUGAGGGGGGCUGCUCCUAGUACGAGAGGACCGGAGUGGACGCAUCACUGGUGUUCGGGUUGUCAUGCCAAUGGCACUGCCCGGUAGCUAAAUGCGGAAGAGAUAAGUGCUGAAAGCAUCUAAGCACGAAACUUGCCCCGAGAUGAGUUCUCCCUGACUCCUUGAGAGUCCUGAAGGAACGUUGAAGACGACGACGUUGAUAGGCCGGGUGUGUAAGCGCAGCGAUGCGUUGAGCUAACCGGUACUAAUGAACCGUGAGGCUUAACCUU
RNAcentral lists this ribosomal RNA (2902 nucleotides) under Escherichia coli. Its description in RNAcentral is "bacterial LSU rRNA". It matches the Rfam family "Bacterial large subunit ribosomal RNA". Lineage: Bacteria; Pseudomonadati; Pseudomonadota; Gammaproteobacteria; Enterobacterales; Enterobacteriaceae. The record is from RNAcentral.